AACUCCUACGGGAGGCAGCAGUGGGGAAUUUUGGACAAUGGGGGGAACCCUGAUCCAGCCAUGCCGCGUGUCUGAAGAAGGCCUUCGGGUUGUAAAGGACUUUUGUUAGGGAAGAAAAGCCGGGUGCUAAUACCACCUGGUGCUGACGGUACCUAA
This 156-nucleotide ribosomal RNA is filed under the name uncultured Snodgrassella sp. Its description in RNAcentral is "uncultured Candidatus Snodgrassella sp. partial 16S ribosomal RNA". It matches the Rfam family "Bacterial small subunit ribosomal RNA", at positions 334 to 482 of the family's 1533-position model. The record is from RNAcentral. Lineage: Bacteria; Pseudomonadati; Pseudomonadota; Betaproteobacteria; Neisseriales; Neisseriaceae.